UCUGUAUCUAUUUAGGUUGCUGCAAAAGUAAUUGCGGUUUUUGCCCUUACUUUCAAUGGCAAAACUGCAAUUACUUUUGCACCAACCUAA
This 90-nucleotide microRNA precursor is filed under the name Nomascus leucogenys (northern white-cheeked gibbon). RNAcentral's name for it is "miRNA (ENSNLEG00000022279.2)". The record is from RNAcentral. Lineage: Eukaryota; Metazoa; Chordata; Mammalia; Primates; Hylobatidae.